AUGUGUGGUUUCGCCCCUGGAGCCGAAGAUGGUUAGUUCCAGGACAAACUUCCUGGUUCUAACCAGGAGGAGAGCCAACUGGAAGUUUUAGUAAAGCCUCUGUGAUAACAUAUUUAAGAAAAAAGAGGAAGAGAAGGUUGUUGCGCAGAAGAAAUUCGAGCCAGGAGGGUGGCAGAGGAAGCUGCCAGGGCCCGGGGGCCCGGCCUUGCGGCCCGUGGCCUGGGACAGGCACGGUGGGCUCUGUGGCCGGGGCUGGAGUGGUUCCCUGCCACUUCCACCCCCUGCACCGCGGGCAGGGGCAGCAGCGAUAGCCCAGGGUGAUAGCUGGCCCAGGGGCAGGCACGGCGCUAGAGCCGAGCCUGGGCCGGGGCCAGGACCAGAGUGUGCGGCCCCAUAGCACCCCCAUGGGCCCAUCCCGGCCGAGCUGCCUGUGCUGCUUUCAGCAGUGCCGGCUGAGCCGAGCGGCAGCCCCUGCAAAGGGGUGGCCGGGGCUGGGGCAAGGGCGUGCGGCAGCGCACAGAGCGGCCCCACAGCCCCCUCCGGGCCCACCCCGGCCGCAGGCUAGGCCAGGGCGGCAGAGCGGCCCUGCCGGCGGGCAUUCGUUCCCCUUCCCAUCCCGUCUGAGCCAAGACGGGCCGGGGCGGCCUUGCCGGCGCAGCCGCGUCCGAGAUGGAACAAGUGGCUGCAUGGAAAUGAAAGAGCACUGCUGCCCUUAUGGAAAGCCCAGGAGGGAAUGGAGUUCUUUGGAAGACUCUGUGGCCCAUGGAGAGAGAAGCCAUGCUGGAGCAGUUUGUUCUGGCUCUUCGCAAAUUUUCGUGGGAGUUUAAAAUCCGGCCAGAGUCAACCCAUGGCAUAACAGUUGCUUCAAAAGAAAGCACAAGUAUUCCUGCAGCAUAUGGCUUAAGGAGAGAAAAAUCAUUCAAUAAAAGUCUCCUUUAACUAAGAGAA
This is a long non-coding RNA of Pipra filicauda (Wire-tailed manakin), 948 nucleotides long. RefSeq lists it as uncharacterized. The record is from RefSeq and is a predicted model, not a curated record. The transcript is spliced from 2 exons. NCBI's taxonomy places the organism in Eukaryota, Metazoa, Chordata, Aves, Passeriformes, Pipridae.